This 361-nucleotide unclassified non-coding RNA is filed under the name soil metagenome. Its description in RNAcentral is "partial contains 5.8S ribosomal RNA, internal transcribed spacer 2, and large subunit ribosomal RNA". The stretch from base 1 to 120 matches the Rfam family "5.8S ribosomal RNA", at positions 35 to 154 of the family's 154-position model. The record is from RNAcentral.
GAUGAAGAACGCAGCGAAAUGCGAUAAGUAAUGUGAAUUGCAGAAUUCAGUGAAUCAUCGAAUCUUUGAACGCACAUUGCGCCCGCCAGCAUUCUGGCGGGCAUGCCUGUCCGAGCGUCAUUUCAACCAUCAGGGUCCCUCCGCCUCGCGCGGUCGGAGCCUGGUGUUGGGGAUCGGCCCGCCCCGCGCGGCGCCGUCCCCCAAAUACAGUGGCGGUCCCGCCGCAGCCUCCCCUGCGCAGUAGUUAUCAACUCGCACUGGAGCGCGGCGCGGCCACGCCGUAAAACACCCAACUUCUGAAUGUUGACCUCGAAUCAGGUAGGAAUACCCGCUGAACUUAAGCAUAUCAAUAAGCGGAGGA